UACGGAAGGGGCAAGCGUUGUUCGGAAUCAUUGGGCGUAAAGGGCGCGUAGGCGGUCGCGUGUGUCUGCUGUGAAAGCGCACGGCUCAACCGUGUGAAGUCGGUAGAAACUGCGGGACUUGAGGCUGGGAGAGGUUGGUGGAAUUCCCUGUGUAGCGGUGAAAUGCGUAGAUAUAGGGGAGAACACUCGUGGCGAAGGCGGCCAGCUGGACCAGCCCUGACGCUGAGGCGCGACAGCGUGGGGAGCAAACAGGAUUAGAUACCCUGGUAGUCCACGCCGUAAACGAUGGGCACUAGGUGUUGGCGGUACCGAUUCCGUCGGCGCCGGCGUUAACGCAGUAAGUGCCCCGCCUGGGGAGUACGGUCGCAAGGCUGAA
Molecule: ribosomal RNA, 376 nt
Filed under: uncultured bacterium
Lineage: Bacteria
Description: bacterial SSU rRNA
Rfam family: Bacterial small subunit ribosomal RNA
Source: RNAcentral